UACGGAGGGUGCAAGCGUUAUCCGGAUUCACUGGGUUUAAAGGGUGCGUAGGUGGAUUAGUAAGUCAGUGGUGAAAUCUCUGGGCUUAACUCAGAAACUGCCAUUGAUACUAUUAGUCUUGAAUACCGUGGAGGUCAGCGGAAUAUGUCAUGUAGCGGUGAAAUGCUUAGAUAUGACAUAGAACACCAAUUGCGAAGGCAGCUGGCUACACGAAUAUUGACACUGAGGCACGAAAGCGUGGGGAGCAAACAGG
Molecule: ribosomal RNA, 253 nt
Filed under: uncultured bacterium
Lineage: Bacteria
Description: partial 16S ribosomal RNA
Rfam family: Bacterial small subunit ribosomal RNA
Source: RNAcentral